This 65-nucleotide transfer RNA is filed under the name Purohita sinica. RNAcentral describes it as "tRNA-Ser". The record is from RNAcentral. Lineage: Eukaryota; Metazoa; Arthropoda; Insecta; Hemiptera; Delphacidae.
AAGUUAAUAGUUUAAAAACGCUAUGUCUUGAAAACAUAAAUUGAAAUUAAUUUUUUAUUAACUUU